CUACGGGUCGCAGCAGUGGGGAAUAUUGCACAAUGGAGGAAACUCUGAUGCAGCAACGCCGCGUGGAGGAUGACACUUUUCGGAGCGUAAACUCCUUUUAUAUAGGAAGAAGAUGACGGUACUAUAUGAAUAAGCGCCGGCUAACUCCGUGCCAGCAGCCGCGGUAAUACGGAGGGCGCAAGCGUUACUCGGAAUCACUGGGCGUAAAGAGCGUGUAGGCGGAUUAAAAAGUCAGAAGUGAAAUCCUAUAGCUUAACUAUAUAACUGCUUCUGAAACUCUUAAUCUAGAAUAUGGGAGAGGUAGAUGGAAUUUCUGGUGUAGGGGUAAAAUCCGUAGAGAUCAGAAGGAAUACCGAUUGCGAAGGCGAUCUACUAGAACAUGAUUGACGCUGAGACGCGAAAGCGUGGGGAGCAAACAGGAUUAGAUACCCGCGUAGUC
Molecule: ribosomal RNA, 439 nt
Filed under: uncultured bacterium
Lineage: Bacteria
Description: partial 16S ribosomal RNA
Rfam family: Bacterial small subunit ribosomal RNA
Source: RNAcentral